GUUUAGCCCCGAUUGUAGCGGUUAUUCUGCUCAAUUGGACAAGUUGCGAGGACCAGAUUUUGGCUUGGCUACGCGGAGCAAGAGACAGGACAAACCGUAGCCCUCGCCUCGUAUCAAUGAGCAGAUAUGAGCGAAAAGCGGGAUUGGCU
RNAcentral lists this small RNA (149 nucleotides) under Psychrobacter arcticus 273-4. RNAcentral describes it as "Flavo-1 RNA". It matches the Rfam family "Flavo-1 RNA". Lineage: Bacteria; Pseudomonadati; Pseudomonadota; Gammaproteobacteria; Moraxellales; Moraxellaceae. The record is from Rfam by way of RNAcentral.